RNAcentral lists this ribosomal RNA (466 nucleotides) under uncultured bacterium. RNAcentral's name for it is "partial 16S ribosomal RNA". It matches the Rfam family "Bacterial small subunit ribosomal RNA", at positions 30 to 507 of the family's 1533-position model. The record is from RNAcentral.
CGACCGCUGGCGGCGUGCUUAACACAUGCAAGUCGAACGGAAAGGCCCUGCUUUUGUGGGGUGCUCGAGUGGCGAACGGGUGAGUAACACGUGAGUAACCUGCCCUUGACUUUGGGAUAACUUCAGGAAACUGGGGCUAAUACCGGAUAGGAGCUCCUGCUGCAUGGUGGGGGUUGGAAAGUUUCGGCGGUUGGGGAUGGACUCGCGGCUUAUCAGCUUGUUGGUGGGGUAGUGGCUUACCAAGGCUUUGACGGGUAGCCGGCCUGAGAGGGUGACCGGCCACAUUGGGACUGAGAUACGGCCCAGACUCCUACGGGAGGCAGCAGUGGGGAAUAUUGCACAAUGGGCGGAAGCCUGAUGCAGCAACGCCGCGUGCGGGAUGACGGCCUUCGGGUUGUAAACCGCUUUCGCCUGUGACGAAGCGCGAGUGACGGUAAUGGGUAAAGAAGCACCGGCUAACUACGUG